GAUGAACGCUGGCGGCGUGCCUAAUACAUGCAAGUCGAGCGAACGGACGAGAAGCUUGCUUCUCUGAUGUUAGCGGCGGACGGGUGAGUAACACGUGGAUAACCUACCUAUAAGACUGGGAUAACUUCGGGAAACCGGAGCUAAUACCGGAUAAUAUUUUGAACCGCAUGGUUCAAAAGUGAAAGACGGCCUUGCUGUCACUUAUAGAUGGAUCCGCGCUGCAUUAGCUAGUUGGUAAGGUAACGGCUUACCAAGGCAACGAUGCAUAGCCGACCUGAGAGGGUGAUCGGCCACACUGGAACUGAGACACGGUCCAGACUCCUACGGGAGGCAGCAGUAGGGAAUCUUCCGCAAUGGGCGAAAGCCUGACGGAGCAACGCCGCGUGAGUGAUGAAGGUCUUCGGAUCGUAAAACUCUGUUAUUAGGGAAGAACAUAUGUGUAAGUAACUGUGCGCAUCUUGACGGUACCUAAUCAGAAAGCCACGGCUAACUACGUGCCAGCAGCCGCGGUAAUACGUAGGUGGCAAGCGUUAUCCGGAAUUAUUGGGCGUAAAGCGCGCGUAGGCGGUUUUUUAAGUCUGAUGUGAAAGCCCACGGCUCAACCGUGGAGGGUCAUUGGAAACUGGAAAACUUGAGUGCAGAAGAGGAAAGUGGAAUUCCAUGUGUAGCGGUGAAAUGCGCAGAGAUAUGGAGGAACACCAGUGGCGAAGGCGACUUUCUGGUCUGUAACUGACGCUGAUGUGCGAAAGCGUGGGGAUCAAACAGGAUUAGAUACCCUGGUAGUCCACGCCGUAAACGAUGAGUGCUAAGUGUUAGGGGGUUUCCGCCCCUUAGUGCUGCAGCUAACGCAUUAAGCACUCCGCCUGGGGAGUACGACCGCAAGGUUGAAACUCAAAGGAAUUGACGGGGACCCGCACAAGCGGUGGAGCAUGUGGUUUAAUUCGAAGCAACGCGAAGAACCUUACCAAAUCUUGACAUCCUUUGACAACUCUAGAGAUAGAGCCUUCCCCUUCGGGGGACAAAGUGACAGGUGGUGCAUGGUUGUCGUCAGCUCGUGUCGUGAGAUGUUGGGUUAAGUCCCGCAACGAGCGCAACCCUUAAGCUUAGUUGCCAUCAUUAAGUUGGGCACUCUAAGUUGACUGCCGGUGACAAACCGGAGGAAGGUGGGGAUGACGUCAAAUCAUCAUGCCCCUUAUGAUUUGGGCUACACACGUGCUACAAUGGACAAUACAAAGGGCAGCGAAACCGCGAGGUCAAGCAAAUCCCAUAAAGUUGUUCUCAGUUCGGAUUGUAGUCUGCAACUCGACUACAUGAAGCUGGAAUCGCUAGUAAUCGUAGAUCAGCAUGCUACGGUGAAUACGUUCCCGGGUCU
This 1372-nucleotide ribosomal RNA is filed under the name uncultured bacterium. RNAcentral's name for it is "bacterial SSU rRNA". It matches the Rfam family "Bacterial small subunit ribosomal RNA", at positions 28 to 1381 of the family's 1533-position model. The record is from RNAcentral.